Molecule: ribosomal RNA, 253 nt
Filed under: uncultured bacterium
Lineage: Bacteria
Description: partial 16S ribosomal RNA
Rfam family: Bacterial small subunit ribosomal RNA
Source: RNAcentral
UACGAAGGGGGCUAGCGUUGCUCGGAAUCACUGGGCGUAAAGGGUGCGUAGGCGGGUCUUUAAGUCAGGGGUGAAAUCCUGGAGCUCAACUCCAGAACUGCCUUUGAUACUGAGGAUCUUGAGUACGGGAGAGGUGAGUGGAACUGCGAGUGUAGAGGUGAAAUUCGUAGAUAUUCGCAAGAACACCAGUGGCGAAGGCGGCUCACUGGCCCGGUACUGACGCUGAGGUGCGAAAGCGUGGGGAGCAAACAGG